RNAcentral lists this transfer RNA (85 nucleotides) under Felis catus (domestic cat). It matches the Rfam family "tRNA". From Rfam's summary of the family: Transfer RNA (tRNA) molecules are approximately 80 nucleotides in length. Their secondary structure includes four short double-helical elements and three loops (D, anti-codon, and T loops). Further hydrogen bonds mediate the characteristic L-shaped molecular structure. tRNAs have two regions of fundamental functional importance: the anti-codon, which is responsible for specific mRNA codon recognition, and the 3' end, to which the tRNAs corresponding amino acid is attached (by aminoacyl-tRNA synthetases). tRNAs cope with the degeneracy of the genetic code in two manners: having more than one tRNA (with a specific anti-codon) for a particular amino acid; and 'wobble' base-pairing, i.e. permitting non-standard base-pairing at the 3rd anti-codon position. Lineage: Eukaryota; Metazoa; Chordata; Mammalia; Carnivora; Felidae. The record is from Rfam by way of RNAcentral.
GCCUGGGUGGCUCAGUCGGUUGAGCGUCCGACUUCGGCUCAGGUCACGAUCUCACAGCUCGUGGGUUCGAGCCCCGCGUCGGGCU